This 440-nucleotide ribosomal RNA is filed under the name uncultured bacterium. Its description in RNAcentral is "partial 16S ribosomal RNA". It matches the Rfam family "Bacterial small subunit ribosomal RNA", at positions 338 to 795 of the family's 1533-position model. The record is from RNAcentral.
GCUACGGGAGGCAGCAGUGGGGAAUAUUGCACAAUGGGGGAAACCCUGAUGCAGCGACGCCGCGUGAGUGAAGAAGUAAUUCGUUACGUAAAGCUCUAUCAGCAGGGAAGAAAAUGACGGUACCUGAGUAAGAAGCCCCGGCUAACUACGUGCCAGCAGCCGCGGUAAUACGUCGGGGGCAAGCGUUAUCCGGAUUUACUGGGUGUAAAGGGAGAGUAGACGGUGCGCCAAGUCUGGAGUUAAAUGCCGGAGCUUAAAUGCGGAACCGCUUUUGAAACUGGCGAACUAGGGUGCGGGAGGGGUAAGCGGGAUUGCUAGGGUAGCGGUGGAAUGCGGAGAUAUUAGGAGGAACACCGGUGGCGAAGGCGGCUUACUGGAACGGAACCGACGUUGAGGCUCGAAAGCGUGGGGGGCAAACCGGAUUAGAUACCCUGGUAGUC